CCGGGAGCCGGCCCGCCCCCCGCGCUGGCGACCGCUCGGCCCAGGGCGCCUCUGACGUCGGGAGGGGUGGCGACACCCCCAGCCCGUCCCCGCCCGGAGCCUUCUCGGGCCCGGGGCUCCAGGAAGCCGGGGAGUGCGGGGCCGGACGAGGGGCGGCGACACGGGCGCCCGGACGCAGCCAGCGAUGGAGGGAGACCCGAGGGCGCGGGGGCGCGCGGAGGGGCGGCGAUCAGCCUAGUCUGCGAGGGCGAGAAGGCCGACAGCGCGUGGGAGAGGCAGGAAGCCGAUAAGGAGAGAGAAUGAGGGAAGGACGGGGAGACGGGGACACCAGGGACUGAUGAGGGGACCAAGUCCUGGAGGCGGAGAGUUGCGCAGGAGGGCAGAGCCAGGCUUGGGGACCGCGUGUUCCAGUGUUUACACGCGGCUCCUGAGGUUUGUGAAACACUAGAACUCCCAGCUGCCUGCUCCUCUGCUCCCUGCCCCCAGUACUAGCCCUGGGGGGUCCCAGCCCAGGCGAACAGGACCGGGCGGUGGAAAGACCCCAGCAGAGCAAAGCCACAGCCUACCUGGCAGCCCACCUGGGCAACCCACCUGGCCCAUCCCUGGAUACAGCAUCACCAGUGGUUUCACUGUCUUCCUUUUAGGGGUGAGUACCAGGCCUUGGAGGAUGGCAAGGCUGACCGGCACUCACGAGGACCCCUCAUGAGCCCACGGUGGGGAGGAGGAGAGAGACACAAGGUGGGACCCUUGUCCUCCCCUCCUGGCCUGCACCACAGUCCAACCAAGUGACAGUAACGACUGGCCAAGUAUCUGCCAGACAGCAUCACAGUUUCUGUGUGCCACCUGGUGGCAAUAAAGGAGAAAGACAAGAGCAAGCGACAGUAUGGAGAAGGGGAAGGAAAUUCGCAGAGCAGCCUUUGCCGCUGCCCCGCUGGACUCUGGGAAGGACUGUCCCGGGCUCAGGCUGCAGGCCCCGCGCUCCAUGCCCCACCAUCCAGGCCUUCCCAGAUGGGGAAACUGAGGCCGAAGAAAGGCAAAUGAUGUGCCCAAGAGCACACACCCCAGGACCCAUUGUGGGAGAAGAGACUGACUCCCCUGGGAGAAGACAGCAGAAUUACAACGGGCGUCCUGCUCCCCACACACCCAGCCUUCUGGCCCUGUCCCAGCUCUGGGCCUCGCCUUCCUUCUGCCUCCCUGUCCUCAAAGAACACACAUUUUCCACUCGGCGGGGCCCAGGAGAGGAUGACUGUGUGUCUCAAGGCGGGUGACUGCUCUGACAAGACUCCCCGCGGGACAGAGGGAUGACGUUCCGUCAGCCCAGCGUCCACGUGGCAGGUGCACCAACCGAGCUGCGCCCAUCAAGUCAGGGCCAAGAACAUGAGCCCUGUGGGCACCCAGACCUGAAUUCAAAUUCUAGUUUCACCACUUACAGCUUUGUGACAUUGGAUAAAAGUCUUACCCUCUCUGACUCGUAUAAAAUGGAGUUGACAGCCUCCUAGGGUUAUUGUGGAGACUGAAUGGGACAAGGAUGUCAGGCACAUGGCACAGUGCCUGGCACUCAGGAGCUGCUCCCUAAGCGGGGGCCACACCCUCAUCUUCCCACACUGGCCUACCAGAAAGAGCUGGGGGUCCCAUGCUACCAGUGGACUCGCUGUGUGACCCUGGAGAUGCCACGUUCCUUCUCUAAGCUCUGCUCCUUCCUUUGCAUAAGGAGAGAAUCGAGGCUGAACGUGGAGGCUCCUGCCUUGGCCGACCUCCCAGAGCCACAAGGAAUCCCAUCCUUUUCGAAUGCUCAUGGCAGAAGAAGGGGCUGUCCUCAAGGUCACCAGGGACCUGAAAGCCGCCGUUUCUGCCAUCCUCCAUUGCCACGGGGCUGGGCAGCAGCCGGUCACAGAUGCCAGCGCUGAGCUGCACAGACUCUGUGGCUGCCUGGAGCACCUGCUGCAGUUUGACCAGAAAGAGCAGAGGAGCUUCCUGAGGCCUCGGAAGGGCUACUGGGACUUUCUCUGCACGUCCCUGUCGCAACAGCGUGGGGACACGGAGCCAGCCAGCUUUGUCCACUCCCAGGACAAGUUGAAGACCCCCCUGGGAAAAGGCCGGGCCUUCAUCCGCUUCUGCCUGGCCCACGGACAGCUGGCCGAGACCCUGCAGCUGUGCCUCCUGAACCCGGAGCUCACCAGGGAGUGGUAUGGCCCCCGGAGCCCUCUGGUGUGCCCUGAACUGCGGGAGGACAUUCUGGACUCUCUCUACGCUCUCAAUGGGGUAGCCUUUGACUUGGACCUGCAGCGGCCAGACCUGGAUGGGGCCUGGCCCAUGUUCUCAGAGUCCUGCUGCUCCAAUUCCAGCCGGGCCCAGGGACGAAGACCCAGAAAGACCAGAGAUUCCCCCAAGGAGAUAGCCACAUGUGAAGGCCCCACAGGAGUUCAGCCAGAGGAGCCACACGCCAGCCAAGCCAGCUGUGUGCGAGAUGCACCCAGGGGAGACCCGUUGGCUAGACUCUCCAGGUCACAGCAACACAAACAUUGUACCCCCUUUUUGGAAAAGAAGAGAGGAGAACCCGGGAGCCUUGGGCCCCCCCAAAGCAUACGGGAACCAGAGGUGGAGGAGCUUCCGCAAGACCAGGACAAGAGAGCCCCAAGGAUGAGGAUCUGUCUGGAGAACUCAACCCCCAGCAUCCGGGGACAGGGGGAGGGGGUCCAGGGGGCUCUGAAGGAAGUGAUCGGGGCAGAGAAUGAGGGCAGAGGGGUUCUGCUGGGUGCAGAGGGUCAGAGAACAAUAGAGGGGACUCCUGAAGGGGGAGCAGCGUGGGGUCAUGUCCAGAGGCUGCUGGGCUCCAGCCCCAGAGGGACGAUAGAGGACGCAAUGUCUGCGAGCGGGCAGGAGGGGGAAGUGGCUAGCAUUUGGGGGAAGCCCCAGGUCUUUCAGAGCCUGGAAGCAAAGGAAGGCUCCACCACAGAGAAGCCACAAGAGCAAAUAGGCGUGACCAGUGUGACCAGGAGGGAGGAACAAGCAGAGGCAGCCUUGCAGGACGUGGUCGAGAGCCUCAGACGUGGGCUCCAGAAGACCAAAGAGGAGGCCCGGCACCAGGAGCAGCUGCUGAAGGAGCUGGAGGGCGAGCUGGAGGCACUGCGGGAGCAGCUCGGCAGGUGUCAGGAGGAGAGAGCCCGGCUGUGGGCCGAGCUGGAGCAGAAGCAGCAGGAGGCCGACAGGAGGGACGCAGUGCAUGAGGAGGAGCUCGGUGGGCAGCGGGACCUGGUCCGUGCCCUGAAGAGGAGGGUGCUGGAACUGACUCAGUAAGGACGGCGGGAGUGCAGGGUACGCGGUAGGACAGGACGCAGACACAGGAGUGAUAGUUGUUCCCUGAGAACAACCAUCAAGCAGGGGUCUGGACCUUUUACAUAUUCUAAUUCAUCUCCUUCGUUUAGCCACCCCUGCUAUUGUCUCCAUUUCACACAUGAGGAAACUGAGGGUCAGAGAGGCUGACUUGGCUGCAAAGAACACCCAGCAUAUAAACUGCAUAGAGUCCUCUGACUCAGGCAUGCCCCGACCCCAACCAACCCCUCCUUACACACACACCUACUGAGGCUAAGAGAAGGGGAAGGAGCCUGCGGGUUGAGGAGGAAUUGGGAGAAGAAGGGGGAGGUUAACCAGGAGGCGAUCUUCCUCAGCCCACUGGCCUGGAGGCUGGCCCGGCUCGGCGGUCCUGGGUUCCAGGAUCCCUUCCAAACCACUAUGCUCACUGAGGGUUGGAGGAGACACAUAAGGCCUGGCUCCUGGCCCUCAGCCUGGUGGGGAGGUAGUUCAUACAUAUGUUAUCCUUUCACCCAGUCUAGCAAGUUGGAGACCAGGUACCCAGCUUCCAUUCGAACUGGGAGGUUGCUGGGCCAUCAUCUAAGCCUAAAUCCUCCUGCACAAAACCCAGGUGAUAUUAAGGAUGAGAAAAGGGAGAGACCAACCUGGAAAGAACAAGAAAAACAGAAGAUGUGAUGGAAGAUGAAAAAUACAUACUCUUAAAAUGUCAGGAUUAGAGUUAGGAUUAAAACUUAGCUCUGAGCAUCCUGGCAGCAGGAUCAAAAAGAGAAACACAGAAGGUCCCUAAAUUUCACUGUCCAUUCAAAGAAAGUACACUAGUUCAUCAAGAGAGACAAAUGUUUUUCUUAGCACACUGAAGAGAUCCAUCACAGGAUCCCAAACUACAAAACCUAACGUCCCUUGCAGAAGUGCCUUAAGCAAAAGGAGAAAAACAGAAGCCAUGGAAGUUGACCGCUGCACCAAGAUGGCAGAGCGACCACACAACAUCUAUUCUCCACCCUGAGAGCUUACUAAAAUGUCUGUAAAAGAAUAAAACUUAAAAGAAGGAAAAGUGGAGGAGACAGCCCCAGAUCAGAGAUCUCGGCUGAUUUCCAGAAGCCGGAUAAUGAAUGGGAAAGUGCAUACUAGAUUUAGCCUGAAUUAGAACUUCAAGGCCCAGAGAUGCCAGGACACAGAUGGCAGAAGUGAGAUGACGGGGAGAAAUCAGGACAAUUUCUGAUAAAGGCACUAGACAGAGCAAUGUACACCCCCUGCUCUCUGCCUGCCUCCCCACCUGCAGAACACCUGAGAGUGAGGGGCCUGCCUCUCAGGGAAAUAAUUGAAAGGUCCUUCUCUAAAGAAAGUUAGAUGCCCCAAAUAACAGAGAGUCUGGUGUGGCAGGUAGCUCCCUGCCCAGUCCCCACUAAGGGGAAGCCAUGAGUCAACCAGCCCCGUCCACUACUCCAGCAGCCUGUAUCACCUCUUUCCUAAACAUGAUGUGGCAGUCAAGGAUCCCCAGACACCUGAGAAGAAUCUAGAACAUAGAGGGGAAAGACAAAGAUAAACAAGCAAACAAAGAUCCAUCUCCCAUGAAAAAAGAUACUGUGAAAAGUGACCGUCAAAAAACAAGAAACGUUGUCGGAAAUUGAAAAGAUCGCUGACAAAAUUUAAAAUUCACUUAAGAUUGGAAGAAAAAGAUGAGGCAGCCUCUCAGAAAGUAGGAUAAAAAUCACAGAGAAAUGGAAGACGCGAGAGAAAUAAUUAGAGACCUGAAGAACCAAUCGAGAAGUCCCAAUAAUUUCUCCAACUGACAGGAACUCCAAAAAAGGAGACGAUAAAAUGGAGGAAAUUGUCAGAUGAAAAUAGGAGAAACUUUCCCAGCUCUGAUGGUCUGAUGGACACUGAUCUUCAGAUUUAAAGAUUUCACUGAGUGACCAGCACAAUAAGUGAAAGAGAGGAAAAAUUCACAUCUAGAUACAUCAUUGUGAAAUUUCAGUAAAACAAAGACAAGGAGAAUAUCCUAAAAGGUGGGUCGCUUACAGAAGAAGUAGAACCCAACAAAUUUUAUGAAUCAAUGGUGUAAUACUUUCAAGUUCUGAGAAAAGUUGCCUUUGCCCUAGAAUUCUAUAUCCAGCCAAGUGAUGAAGCAAGUGGGGAAAGUGAUGGAGGAAGGACGUACUUCAGACUGGUAGGGUACAGAAAACUAACCUCCCACAUAGCUUUUCUUAGGAAGUUAAUUAAGGAUGUGCUUAAGAAAAACAAGGAAGUAAGCCAAAAAAGGAGAAGAUGUGAAAUUCAGGAAACAGUAGGUCUAGCCCAGGAGAGAAGAAAAGGGAAUUUCUAAGAUGCCCAGUGGGCAGCAAGCCCAGGAAGCAGUCAUCCAGGCUGUAGCAGGAGCAUUGAGGGCCCAGGAAGAAGGUCUCUGGGGAGAAACAGAAUCAGCAGGAUACUUGAUAUGACGAAGAAUUGGGGUGGGGAGGGUGGGAGGCAGAACAAUUAGGCUAUGUUAAGGCAAGUCAUGCAAGGAGCAAAGAAAGGCAACUACAAAGUCCUAGAAAAAUAAAAAAUUUCCAAGAAAGGUAAUCUUACGGAAUACGUCUUGGUUCUGCUUGAAGCAAUAUACUUAUAGAUUGUCUAAAAAUAGAGAAAGACAACCUUUGGCAGAAGGUCCAGCAUCUCUCUUCCCUGGCCCCUGGAUGCUGUGUCAGCUGUAGCAAGAUCUUUGGCCGGCUGUCUCG
Non-coding RNA from Equus caballus (horse), 6029 nucleotides. NCBI's taxonomy places the organism in Eukaryota, Metazoa, Chordata, Mammalia, Perissodactyla, Equidae. The record is from RefSeq and is a predicted model, not a curated record.